Molecule: long non-coding RNA, 680 nt
Organism: Arachis stenosperma
Lineage: Eukaryota; Viridiplantae; Streptophyta; Magnoliopsida; Fabales; Fabaceae
Exons: 4
Source: RefSeq, a predicted model, not a curated record
UCCUACUCACAAAUUGGUCCCAAAGAACCGAAGAGACCACCAAGUUAAAGGGUGAGGAGGAUUGAAGUAGAAUGGAGCGAAAGAGCAUGGAAUUUAGAUCGAUGCAGUGACAAUCUAAGGUAAAGCUCGCGACAUUUUUGGGAAGCUCCGACCAACUAAUCUAACAAGUCAUUUAUCCAAGGGAGUGAUAUUUAUUCUUAACGGUAACUUUUUUAGUUGUCCAUAAUCUAUACACAAACUCAUGCUACCAUCCUUUUCUUUAACAAACAAAACUAGUGCAUCCCAAGGAAACACACUCGGCCUAAUAAAUCUUUUAGUUAACAGCACAAGAGAAUCCACCACAGCAACGAAAGAAACGUGUUUCGUAUUCCACUGAUGAACAAAGUUUGAGGGAGGUUUUUGGGAAAUAUGGUGAUGUUGUUGAUGCAAGGAUAAUUGUGUACCGUGAUUUUGGCAGAUCCAGAGGAUUUGGGUUUAUUACUUACAGUUCGGUUGAGGAGGCGUCAUUCAGGCCUUAGAUGGGCAGGAAGACAUGAUGUGAUGAAGAAAAUAUGUUCCAUACAAAUAUCACAUGGGAUGGGUCUUACAAUGACCUUAGUUAUGUAAAUGUAAUAUUUUGAUGUGUUAUGUACUUUUUGAGGUAUUACAUGUAAAUGGAAAAAUUCCACUCUAUUUUGAUU